This 71-nucleotide transfer RNA is filed under the name Candidatus Woesearchaeota archaeon. RNAcentral's name for it is "tRNA-Gly". It matches the Rfam family "tRNA". Rfam says of the family: Transfer RNA (tRNA) molecules are approximately 80 nucleotides in length. Their secondary structure includes four short double-helical elements and three loops (D, anti-codon, and T loops). The record is from RNAcentral. Lineage: Archaea; Nanobdellati; Candidatus Woesearchaeota.
GCGCCGGUAGUCUAAUGGUAGGAUAGCGGCCUUCCAAGCCGUUGAUCCGGGUUCAAAUCCCGGCCGGCGCA